UACGGGGGGGGUAAGCGUUGUUCGGAAUUACUGGGCGUAAAGGGCGCGUAGGCGGCCUGCUAAGUCACACGUGAAAUCCCUCGGCUCAACCGGGGAACUGCGUGUGAUACUGGCGGGCUUGAAUUCGGGAGAGGGAUGUGGAAUUCCAGGUGUAGCGGUGAAAUGCGUAGAUAUCUGGAGGAACACCGGUGGCGAAGGCGGCAUCCUGGACCGAGAUUGACGCUGAGGCGCGAAAGCUAGGGGAGCAAACGGG
This 253-nucleotide ribosomal RNA is filed under the name uncultured bacterium. Its description in RNAcentral is "partial 16S ribosomal RNA". It matches the Rfam family "Bacterial small subunit ribosomal RNA", at positions 524 to 776 of the family's 1533-position model. The record is from RNAcentral.